RNAcentral lists this non-coding RNA (174 nucleotides) under Anaerobacillus isosaccharinicus. RNAcentral describes it as "Anaerobacillus sp. NB2006 Lysine riboswitch aptamer". It matches the Rfam family "Lysine riboswitch aptamer". From Rfam's summary of the family: Riboswitches are metabolite binding domains within certain messenger RNAs that serve as precision sensors for their corresponding targets. Allosteric rearrangement of mRNA structure is mediated by ligand binding, and this results in modulation of gene expression. RNAcentral also lists the same sequence under 1 other name. Lineage: Bacteria; Bacillati; Bacillota; Bacilli; Caryophanales; Bacillaceae. The record is from Rfam by way of RNAcentral.
UAAUGAGGUAGAGGCGCAAAGCGAAUGAGUAAACUGUGGAGCUUGGGAAGCAUUGAAGCAGUUAGAAAGGUCAAUUUGCCGAAGUUAAGAAUUAGCCCCCCUUAAUUCUUUGCUGGGUCGUUGUUGAAUAAAUAACGGACUGUCACUGCACUGCAGUGGAGGACUACUUUAAUA